This 493-nucleotide ribosomal RNA is filed under the name uncultured soil bacterium. RNAcentral's name for it is "bacterial SSU rRNA". It matches the Rfam family "Bacterial small subunit ribosomal RNA", at positions 26 to 517 of the family's 1533-position model. The record is from RNAcentral.
AGGACGAACGCUGGCGGCGUGCCUAACACAUGCAAGUGGAGCGACGAACCGGGGCUUGCCCCGGGGCAGAGCCGCGAACGGGUGAGUAACACGUGGGUUACCUGCCCCGAUGACUGGGACAACCCGUCGAAAGACGGGCUAAUACCGGAUGUGCCCCUUGGGGGAAAGGAAGCUUCGGCCUCCGCAUCGGGAUGGGCCCGCGGCGCAUUAGCUUGUUGGUGGGGUAAUGGCUUACCAAGGCGACGAUGCGUAGCUGGUCUGAGAGGACGAUCAGCCACACUGGGACUGAGACACGGCCCAGACUCCUACGGGAGGCAGCAGUGGGGAAUCUUGCACAAUGCGCGAAAAACGUGAUGCAGCAAACGCCGCGUGCGGGAAGAAGGCCUAGGUUGUAAACCGCUUUCAGUUGGGACGAAGCUUUGGCGUUUAAUAGCGGUUUUGGAGUGACGGUACCUUCAGAAGAAGCGCCGGCUAACUACGUGCCAGCAAGCCG